This 250-nucleotide ribosomal RNA is filed under the name uncultured bacterium. RNAcentral describes it as "partial 16S ribosomal RNA". It matches the Rfam family "Bacterial small subunit ribosomal RNA", at positions 355 to 621 of the family's 1533-position model. The record is from RNAcentral.
GGAUGAAUAUUGCACAAUGGGGGCAACCCUGAUGCAGCAACGCCGCGUGGAGGAUGAAGGCCUUCGGGUCGUAAACUCCUUUUCUGGGGGAAGAGGAAGGACGGUACCCCAGGAAUAAGUCACGGCUAACUACGUGCCAGCAGCCGCGGUAAUACGUAGGUGGCAAGCGUUAUCCGGAAUUACUGGGCGUAAAGCGCGCGCAGGCGGCUCAACAAGUCUGACGUGAAAGCUCCUGGCUUAACCGGGAGAG